UGGGGAAUAUUGGACAAUGGGGGCAACCCUGAUCCAGCCAUGCCGCGUGGGUGAGAAGGCCUUCGGGUUGUAAAGCCCUGUCGUAGGGGAAGAAUUCUGACGGUACCCUACAAGAAAGCACCGGCUAACUCCGUGCCAGCAGCCGCGGUAAUACGGAGGGUGCAAGCGUUGCUCGGAAUUACUGGGCGUAAAGCGCACGCAGGCGGUUUGGAAGGUCGGAUGUGAAAGCCCUGGGCUCAACUCAGGAACUGCAUCCGAAACCAUCAGACUUGAGGGUGAGAGAGGGUGGUGGAAUUCCAGGUGUAGAGUUGAAAUUCGUUGAUAUCUGGAGGAACACCGGCGGCGAAGGCGGCCACCUGGCUCAUUUCUGACGCUCAUGUGCGAAAGCGUGGGGAGCAAA
RNAcentral lists this ribosomal RNA (400 nucleotides) under uncultured bacterium. RNAcentral describes it as "bacterial SSU rRNA". It matches the Rfam family "Bacterial small subunit ribosomal RNA", at positions 355 to 772 of the family's 1533-position model. The record is from RNAcentral.